UUUUAUGGAGAGUUUGAUCCUGGCUCAGGAUGAACGCUGGCGGCGUGCCUAAUACAUGCAAGUCGAGCGAACGGACGAGAAGCUUGCUUCUCUGAUGUUAGCGGCGGACGGGUGAGUAACACGUGGAUAACCUACCUAUAAGACUGGGAUAACUUCGGGAAACCGGAGCUAAUACCGGAUAAUAUUUUGAACCGCAUGGUUCAAAAGUGAAAGACGGUCUUGCUGUCACUUAUAGAUGGAUCCGCGCUGCAUUAGCUAGUUGGUAAGGUAACGGCUUACCAAGGCAACGAUGCAUAGCCGACCUGAGAGGGUGAUCGGCCACACUGGAACUGAGACACGGUCCAGACUC
Molecule: ribosomal RNA, 349 nt
Filed under: Staphylococcus aureus
Lineage: Bacteria; Bacillati; Bacillota; Bacilli; Caryophanales; Staphylococcaceae
Description: bacterial SSU rRNA
Rfam family: Bacterial small subunit ribosomal RNA
Source: RNAcentral